CGACGAUGCAUAGCCGACCUGAGAGGGUGAUCGGCCACAUUGGGACUGAGACACGGCCCAAACUCCUACGGGAGGCAGCAGUAGGGAAUCUUCCACAAUGGACGAAAGUCUGAUGGAGCAACGCCGCGUGAGUGAUGAAGGUUUUCGGAUCGUAAAACUCUGUUGUAAGGGAAGAACAAGUACGUUAGGAAAUGAACGUACCUUGACGGUACCUUAUUAGAAAGCCACGGCUAACUACGUGCCAGCAGCCGCGGUAAUACGUAGGUGGCAAGCGUUGUCCGGAUUUAUUGGGCGUAAAGCGCGCGCAGGUGGUUUCUUAAGUCUGAUGUGAAAGCCCACGGCUCAACCGUGGAGGGUCAUUGGAAACUGGGGAACUUGAGUGCAGAAGAGGAUAGUGGAAUUCCAAGUGUAGCGGUGAAAUGCGUAGAGAUUUGGAGGAACACCAGUGGCGAAGGCGACUGUCUGGUCUGUAACUGACACUGAGGCGCGAAAGCGUGGGGAGCAAACAGGUAUUAGAUACCCUGGUAGUCCACGCCGUAAACGAUGAGUGCGUAAGUGUUAGGGGGUUUCCGCCCCUUAGUGCUGCAGCUAACGCAUUAAGCACUCCGCCUGGGGAGUACGAUCGCAAGAUUGAAACUCAAAGGAAUUGACGGGGGCCCGCACAAGCGGUGGAGCAUGUGGUUUAAUUCGAAGCAACGCGAAGAACCUUACCAGGUCUUGACAUCCCAGUGACCGCUCUAGAGAUAGAGUUUUCCCUUCGGGGACAUUGGUGACAGGUGGUGCAUGGUUGUCGUCAGCUCGUGUCGUGAGAUGUUGGGUUAAGUCCCGCAACGAGCGCAACCCUUAAUCUUAGUUGCCAUCAUUUAGUUGGGCACUCUAAGGUGACUGCCGGUGACAAACCGGAGGAAGGUGGGGAUGACGUCAAAUCAUCAUGCCGCUUAUGACCUGGGCUACACACGUGCUACAAUGGACGGUACAAAGAGUCGCUAACUCGCGAGAGCACGCUAAUCUCAUAAAACCGUUCUCAGUUCGGAUUGUAGGCUGCAACUCGCCUACAUGAAG
RNAcentral lists this ribosomal RNA (1062 nucleotides) under Rummeliibacillus stabekisii. RNAcentral's name for it is "bacterial SSU rRNA". It matches the Rfam family "Bacterial small subunit ribosomal RNA", at positions 274 to 1325 of the family's 1533-position model. The record is from RNAcentral. Lineage: Bacteria; Bacillati; Bacillota; Bacilli; Caryophanales; Caryophanaceae.